This 808-nucleotide ribosomal RNA is filed under the name Pyricularia grisea. Its description in RNAcentral is "eukaryotic LSU rRNA". The stretch from base 120 to 273 matches the Rfam family "5.8S ribosomal RNA". Lineage: Eukaryota; Fungi; Ascomycota; Sordariomycetes; Magnaporthales; Pyriculariaceae. The record is from RNAcentral.
UACAUGAAACUCCACCCCUGUGAACAUAACCUCUGUCGUUGCUUCGGCGGGCACGCCCGCCGGAGGUUCAAAACUCUUAUUUUUUCCAGUAUCUCUGAGCCUGAAAGACAAAUAAUCAAAACUUUCAACAACGGAUCUCUUGGUUCUGGCAUCGAUGAAAAACGCAGCGAAAUGCGAUAAGUAAUGUGAAUUGCAAAAUUCAGUGAAUCAUCGAAUCUUUGAACGCACAUUGCGCCCGCCGGUAUUCCGGCGGGCAUGCCUGUUCAAGCGUCAUUUCAACCCUCAAGCCUCGGCUUGGUGUCGGGGCGCCCGGGCCCUCCGCGGCCCGGGGCCCCCAAGUUCAUCGGCGGGCUCGUCGGUACACUGAGCGCAGUAAAACGCGGUAAAACGCGAACCUCGUUCGGAUCGUCCCGGCGUGCUCCAGCCGCUAAACCCCCAAUUUUUUAAAGGUUGACCUCGGAUCAGGUAGGAAUACCCGCUGAACUUAAGCAUAUCAAAAAAGAAAUUAUGCCCCUGGGAACAUGGGGGGUGGUGGUUGCUUCGGCGGGCACGCCCGCCGGAGGUUCAAAACUCUUAUUUUUUUCCAGUAUCUCUGAGCCUGAAAGACAAAUAAUCGAGACUUUUCAACAACGGAAUCUCGUGGUUCUGGCGUCGAUGAAGAAACGCAGCGGAAUUGCGGAUGAGUUAUGUGAAGUUGCAGAAAUUCCGUGGAAAUCAUCGAAUCUUUUGAAACGCACAUUGGCGCCCCGGCCGGGUAUUUUCCGGGAGGGGGGAUGGCUUGUUUCGUAGUCGUUCUAUUUCCAAACAA